Molecule: long non-coding RNA, 174 nt
Organism: Thalassophryne amazonica
Lineage: Eukaryota; Metazoa; Chordata; Actinopteri; Batrachoidiformes; Batrachoididae
Exons: 3
Source: RefSeq, a predicted model, not a curated record
GUGUCGUGUGGCUAGAAAGAAAAAAAAUGUAAAAUGAAAAAAUAAAUUAAAUGGUUACAUUUAUCCAGUGAUUUGUACUAUAAAGUUAUUUUCCUUUUAACUUCACCAGUUUUAGAUUAUGUUUUAUUCAAAAUCGCUGAAUUUUUAUAUUUGCCAUUCAAAUGCUGAGAGGAG